UCUCCGGUGUCCCACUCAAAAGUGUCCCCAGGGCACUUGAGCACAUCCCGUGAGUUCCUGACAAGUCCACCCAACAUGGCUGGAGUCACACAGGAAGCACCGUGUUGGACACUUCCUGUCGGCGCCAGGAACAAUGACUUGUCCCAGGCCAUGACCUCACCUCCGUGGCGGAGCCGGCAAUAAAUCAUCCACCUUGAAACGGAGCAGGUGGUGACGGAUUAACAAGACAGUUGGGAGGUGUAAUGUGCAGCUCUGGCCGCUAGAGGGACUUGAAGACCACCAGGAAGUUGCAUUGCACGGCAGGAGGUUUGAGGGGUUGCCUCCACAUUUUGGCGAGACUCCGGAGCCCCGGGCAGCAGGGGUCUGGGACAGGCUGCCAAAUUUGACGACCACAAGGAAUACCCGCUGGUUUUGUGUGUUUGUACAUGUGCCUUCUCUUUAAUUCAAUGAUGUCACCGAUUGACAGCACUGUC
This is a long non-coding RNA of Entelurus aequoreus (snake pipefish), 473 nucleotides long. RefSeq lists it as uncharacterized. The record is from RefSeq and is a predicted model, not a curated record. Lineage: Eukaryota; Metazoa; Chordata; Actinopteri; Syngnathiformes; Syngnathidae. The transcript has 4 exons.